Non-coding RNA from Acanthosepion pharaonis, 111 nucleotides. NCBI's taxonomy places the organism in Eukaryota, Metazoa, Mollusca, Cephalopoda, Sepiida, Sepiidae. The record is from the annotation of a GenBank genome assembly.
CAGCUAUAUCUCGUUGAAACACCGGUUCUGGUACGAUCACCGAAGUUAAGCAACAUCGAGCUUGCUCAGUACCUAGAUGAGUGACCGUUUGGGGAUGCUAGGUAUUGUAAG